CUCUUAAAGAGACAGAGGAAGAGAUUAAGAAACUCCCUUUAACAAGCCCCUCUUCCUACAUGAAGCCUUUCUUAUCUUCUCUCAGUUAUCAGUACUUGUUCCCUCCUUAGAUUUGUUUAUUUUUCUAUUAACAUGUUAUGACCCUCUUCCUUCCUUCCACUAGGAUGAUAGCUACUUAAGAAGAAGGGAUUACUAAGGAGUCGCUGCACAGUGUAAAGAAGCACAAGGUCAAGGAGACCAACAAUCCCUGCGAGGAUCUUCACCGAGAGAGAGGACUUGUUUUGAGGUGCAUCUCUCUGUGCUUGGUUUCCAGGAUCUUCUCUCAAUUGAGUUUCCCAUUCAAAGAACUAGGAUGCUCAAAAACAGGAGUAAUUGAAGUGAGGGAAGGAGAGGGAGGUGUGUGGCUUUAUGAUAAGGAGGAGCACAUCUGAAUUGAAUUUUAAAGGACAAAAGGAAGUGGGAUGGCAGAGAAAAGUAGGAGUUUAUCAUGCUUUAUCUGUAAUUUCUAUUCAUAAAAAAUCUUGUAUUUCAUGCAAAUCUGCAAAGGUUCUCAGAGUUAGAGAUUACCUAAUUCUUAAUAAAGCUUUUUCAGAGAUUCAAUACUCAGGGACUUUGCGUUUCUUUUUCAUUGGUAAUCUCAAAAAUUUAGGUAACUUUAGAAAAAAACUAUAGUAAAAAUAAUACUAAACCUAUAAAUCUUGAGUGGGGAGCUUCUAUUUACUUUUUAUCUCUCUGUGAUUUUGAUGCCCACUGAUAACUUCUCAAAAGCACAUAGGGAUCAGCUGGUUCAGGCUAUCUCUCUUUCCCUGAGGGACUGGUGUUCCUGGGAUUUCAAAUCCAUUUUUUUAAAGGAGUUUCUCCAUUAGCAUGUUCUAACCAUCUUCUCCAAAUGAAGGCUACAUAUGCCACUUCUCACCAGUGUCCUAGCUACUAGUUUAUGAUGAUGCAUGGAAGGCAGAGGGGAAUAGAAUAGAAAGAUGAUGGAUCUAGAAUCAGUGGUUGGGUUUAAAUCUCUGCUGUCAUUUACUAUCUUUGAAACCUUAAACGAGAUCAGUGUCUGACCCUCAGCUUCUUUAAUUCUAAAAAAUGAGAAGAUUGUGCUAGAAUCUAGCACACCCUGAAGGACCCUUCCAUCUCUAAAUCUAUGAUUAUCUUUACAUUCUUAUGCUUCCUCCCAUAAUAUACAGGUUUGUUUUCUCAUAGCUCUCCCCUAUCCAAUUUUUAAAACCCUGAAUUAAAUCAAUUACAUAAAAUAAGUCAUUUGGCUUUGAGAGUCUAUCUUGUAAUUAUAACAAUGGAACCAAAGGAAUAAUUUCAUCUAAAACAUUUUAAAGGGAACACAGUUAUCUAAACUAACUGCCAACAAUUAGGAAACAGCAUUAAAUCAGGGCGUGUUAAGUUAUAUGAUUAGACAUGAUGUGAUUUUUCCCUCAUGGACAUGGGGUCAGGGGAGAUAAAGGUUUUUUUACAUUGUUAUUUUCCUAACCUUUUCAUAAAGCGCAAAAG
This 1506-nucleotide long non-coding RNA is filed under the name Monodelphis domestica (gray short-tailed opossum). Its description in RNAcentral is "lncRNA (ENSMODG00000035491.2)". Lineage: Eukaryota; Metazoa; Chordata; Mammalia; Didelphimorphia; Didelphidae. The record is from RNAcentral.